This 263-nucleotide ribosomal RNA is filed under the name uncultured microorganism. RNAcentral's name for it is "partial 16S ribosomal RNA". It matches the Rfam family "Bacterial small subunit ribosomal RNA", at positions 9 to 275 of the family's 1533-position model. The record is from RNAcentral.
GAGUUUGAUCGUGGCUCAGAUUGAACGCUGGCGGCAUGCCUUACACAUGCAAGUCGAACGGUAACAGGUCUUCGGACGCUGACGAGUGGCGAACGGGUGAGUAAUACAUCGGAACGUGCCCAGUCGUGGGGAGUAACUACUCGAAAGAGUAGCUAAUACCGCAUACGAUCUGAGGAUGAAAGCGGGGGACCGUUCGGGCCUCGCGCGAUUGGAGCGGCCGAUGGCAGAUUAGGUAGUUGGUGGGAUAAAAGCUUACCAAGCCG